UGAGGAAUCUUCGUCAAUGGGCUCAGGCCUGAACGAGCAACGCCGCGUGGAGGACGACGCCUUUCGGGGUGUAAACUCCUUUUCUGGGGGACGAGACAGGACGGUACCCCAGGAAGAAGUCUCGGCUAACUACGUGCCAGCAGCCGCGGUAAUACGUAGGAGACGAGCGUUGUCCGGAGUUACUGGGCGUAAAGGGCGCGCAGGCGGCCGACUAUGUGUGCGGUGAAAGCUCCUGGCUUAACUAGGAGAGGUCCGUGCAAACGGGUCGGCUUGAGCGUCGGAGAGGGGCAUGGAAUUCCGGGUGGAGCGGUGAAAUGCGUAGAGAUCCGGAGGAACACCAAUGGCGAAGGCAGUGCCCUGGCCGACGGCUGACGCUCAGGCGCGAAAGCGUGGGGAGCAAACAGGAUUAGAUACCCCCGUAGUCC
Molecule: ribosomal RNA, 425 nt
Filed under: uncultured bacterium
Lineage: Bacteria
Description: bacterial SSU rRNA
Rfam family: Bacterial small subunit ribosomal RNA
Source: RNAcentral